Molecule: long non-coding RNA, 737 nt
Filed under: Homo sapiens (human)
Lineage: Eukaryota; Metazoa; Chordata; Mammalia; Primates; Hominidae
Description: LNC_000923
Source: RNAcentral
CUUCAGGGGGCUCUGGGCCAGGCUGGGGCUGGGGCCGGUGGGAGGACUGAAGGAAAAGAAGGCUGGAGGCUGUGGGGGCCCAGAGGCUUUGGGCAGCUGCUCUGUCCAUGCCCGCAGGCCUUCGUAAGUCUGGCUGGGCGAGAAGUGGCCGAAGGAGCCAUCCCAGGGAGAGAGCUGGGGCGGCUGGAAGCUGGGCGUGGAGGGCGACGGGGCCGAGCAGGGGCUGCCAUAGUAGUCAGAGCCACUGGAGGACAGGGCCUCAUCCACUGGGCCGCUCAGGGGGCCGGGGUAGCAGCCGUACACCUGGAAGUCCUCGAACUUGAAGGAGGCAGAGGCAGGGGAGGUGGCUGAGGACGAGGAUGUGGAGGAGGCCGAGGAGGAGGCUGAGGAGCAUGGCUGGACUGUUCCUGGCAGCUGGUAGAGGAAGGUGUCAAACUCUCCUGUGUAGCCGUCCAUGAAGGUGCUGAAGCUGGGCAGGGCAGUGGGGGCAGCGGGGGCUGCCUCGGGGCUGGCCAGGUCCAUGGUGGGCUUGAUGAACUCAGGGGUCAGGGGGUCGCUUGCCAGGUGGUCACGGGGUCCCGGACUCGGUGCUGGUGUCCCAUAUUGGGCUUGGAUACAGGGCAUCUCCGGCCGGCUCCCGCUGCCCCUGCCCGGACUGGCGCCCCGAGUCUCAGCCUGGUCCCUGGUCCCGCGUGCGCUCCCGAAGUUCUUCUGUGCACUCCCCCAAGUUUCGUAGC